GUGAACGCUGGCGGUAGGCCUAACACAUGCAAGUCGAACGGCAGCACAGUAAGAGCUUGCUCUUACGGGUGGCGAGUGGCGGACGGGUGAGGAAUACAUCGGAAUCUACUUUUUCGUGGGGGAUAACGUAGGGAAACUUACGCUAAUACCGCAUACGACCUACGGGUGAAAGCAGGGGAUCUUCGGACCUUGCGCGAUUGAAUGAGCCGAUGUCGGAUUAGCUAGUUGGCGGGGUAAAGGCCCACCAAGGCGACGAUCCGUAGCUGGUCUGAGAGGAUGAUCAGCCACACUGGAACUGAGACACGGUCCAGACUCCUACGGGAGGCAGCAGUGGGGAAUAUUGGACAAUGGGCGCAAGCCUGAUCCAGCCAUACCGCGUGGGCGAAGAAGGCCUUCGGGUUGUAAAGCCCUUUUGUUGGGAAAGAAAAGCAGCAGGUUAAUACCCCGCUGUUCUGACGGUACCCAAAGAAUAAGCACCGGCUAACUUCGUG
This 491-nucleotide ribosomal RNA is filed under the name uncultured bacterium. Its description in RNAcentral is "partial 16S ribosomal RNA". It matches the Rfam family "Bacterial small subunit ribosomal RNA", at positions 29 to 507 of the family's 1533-position model. The record is from RNAcentral.